UUUUGUGUUGCUCACAGAUCUCUCUUCACCUUUUCUCACCUAUCUCGUCAUUUCCUACUGUGAAUGUUUGGGUUCAGUGAAUUUUGAAUGGUUCCAACAGUUCCUCUCCCCCUUUCCAAGACAUCAGCUCCACCUCAGAUCAGCAUCAGGCAUGAGACCCCGGAGGCUGGGGAGCCCUGCUCUCAACACAGAACCCCGUCGCACCUCAUACAUGAUAAAGGAUCACGUCGUGUGAUGGCUGUCUGCCCAACCCCAGAGUAGCAGUCCCAGGAGGGCAGGGACAU
Long non-coding RNA from Bubalus bubalis (water buffalo), 284 nucleotides. RefSeq lists it as uncharacterized. The record is from RefSeq and is a predicted model, not a curated record. NCBI's taxonomy places the organism in Eukaryota, Metazoa, Chordata, Mammalia, Artiodactyla, Bovidae. The transcript is spliced from 2 exons.